CGCGUAGGCGGGCUAGCAAGUCAGGGGUGAAAUCCCACGGCUCAACCGUGGAAGUGCCUUUGAUACUGCUGGUCUUGAGGGAGGUAGGGGCGUGCGGAACUUCCGGUGGAGCGGUGAAAUGCGUAGAUAUCGGAAGGAACACCGGUGGCGAAAGCGGCGCGCUGGACCUCUUCUGACGCUGAGGCGCGAAAGCCAGGGGAGCAAACG
RNAcentral lists this ribosomal RNA (207 nucleotides) under uncultured bacterium. RNAcentral's name for it is "partial 16S ribosomal RNA". It matches the Rfam family "Bacterial small subunit ribosomal RNA", at positions 568 to 774 of the family's 1533-position model. The record is from RNAcentral.